AACAAAAACUUUGACUUGAUCCAGUGAGAAAUAUGGAGGGGGAAAAAAAAAAACACUGCUGGGGUAGGGGUAUAAAUUGGAACAAAGUUUUUAGAUGAAUUUAACAAUGCUUGCCAAAUUUUAUAAUGUGCACACCUUUUGACGAAAGUAUAAGUUGCUUAUGGCUGAGGCUAACAUGUCCCUGAGAAUAAAACAGACUGAAAAUACUAAGUGUUAUUCAGUUU
RNAcentral lists this long non-coding RNA (224 nucleotides) under Homo sapiens (human). RNAcentral's name for it is "HSALNT0167032". The record is from RNAcentral. Lineage: Eukaryota; Metazoa; Chordata; Mammalia; Primates; Hominidae.